Molecule: long non-coding RNA, 244 nt
Filed under: Cyanistes caeruleus (blue tit)
Lineage: Eukaryota; Metazoa; Chordata; Aves; Passeriformes; Paridae
Description: lncRNA (ENSCCEG00000012792.1)
Source: RNAcentral
UAAGCAGUAACCAGCAGCAGAGAUUUAUUUGCAUUAUGCUGACCCAAUAAAUAAAACUGAUCUUGACUCUGUAAUGUGGAGUGAAGAAAAAGCAAGUAAAAAAAUGUACUGGGAAGGAAAGAAACCGAACACCAAGCAGAGAGAGAGUCUUAAAGGGAAAGACCAUCAUUUAGCAUCUAAGCUGAGCAACUUCUUCCUUGAAAAAAGGAAUCUGGGUCAUCUGUGUGAGACCCUGAUGUUGUGA